Molecule: ribosomal RNA, 425 nt
Filed under: uncultured bacterium
Lineage: Bacteria
Description: partial 16S ribosomal RNA
Rfam family: Bacterial small subunit ribosomal RNA
Source: RNAcentral
GUGGGGAAUCUUAGACAAUGGGGGAAACCCUGAUCUAGCCAUGCCGCGUGAGCGAUGAAGGCCUUAGGGUUGUAAAGCUCUUUCAGCUGGGAAGAUAAUGACGGUACCAGCAGAAGAAGCCCCGGCUAACUCCGUGCCAGCAGCCGCGGUAAUACGGAGGGGGCUAGCGUUGUUCGGAAUUACUGGGCGUAAAGCGCGCGUAGGCGGACCAGAAAGUUGGAGGUGAAAUCCCAGGGCUCAACCUUGGAACUGCCUUCAAAACUCCUGGUCUGGAGUUCGAGAGAGGUGAGUGGAAUUCCGAGUGUAGAGGUGAAAUUCGUAGAUAUUCGGAGGAACACCAGUGGCGAAGGCGGUUCACUGGCUCGAUACUGACGCUGAGGUGCGAAAGCGUGGGGAGCAAACAGGAUUAGAAACCCCGGUAGUCC